This 492-nucleotide ribosomal RNA is filed under the name uncultured bacterium. RNAcentral describes it as "partial 16S ribosomal RNA". It matches the Rfam family "Bacterial small subunit ribosomal RNA", at positions 28 to 507 of the family's 1533-position model. The record is from RNAcentral.
GUUGAACGCUAGCGAUAGGCCUAACACAUGCAAGUCGAGCGGCAGCACAAGGUAGCUUGCUAUCUGGGUGGCCACCGGCGCACGGGUGCGUAACGCGUAUGCCACUUGCUCUAUACAGGAGGAUAACCCGGCGAAAUACGAACGAAUACUGCGUAUGCUCGCAACUUGGCAUCAAGUGGAGAGGACACAAUUUCGGUAUAGUAUAGGCAUGGGUCGCAUUGGCUUGUUGGUGGGGUAACGGCUCAACAAGGCGACGCUGGGUAGCGGGUCUGAGAUGUUGAUCAGACACACUGGAACUGAGACACGGUCCAGACGAGUAUGGGAGGCAGCAGUGGGGAAUAGUGGACAAUGGGCGAAAGGCUGAUCUAGCCAUGCCGAGUGUGGGAAAAAGGUCUUCGGAUUUUAAAGCACUUCAAGUUGGGAGGAAGGGUAGUAAGUGAAUACUGUGCUGUCUUGACGUUACCAAAAGAAUAAGCACCGGCUAACUUCGUG